RNAcentral lists this long non-coding RNA (18360 nucleotides) under Hordeum vulgare. Its description in RNAcentral is "long non-coding RNA (HVUL_LNC018958)". The record is from RNAcentral. Lineage: Eukaryota; Viridiplantae; Streptophyta; Magnoliopsida; Poales; Poaceae.
UGCGAAUAUAAGAGGAAAGCUUUAUUGAUGAAGGUGGGUUUUUGUGACACCUUUGUGUGGUCGUAGAACACAAACAAAGAUAGCGAAGUUGCAGCUGUGGCGAACUUGUAAUCUAAACAAAACCCAAGUCUAAAUGGUGCCCUAAGGGCUGUAUAUAUGAGGGAACAAAGAGGCAAUUUCGUGACCCUUGGAGGAGGGGUCCGAAAACAGCCCUAAACUCGUAUUCCGCACACAUACAGACUCUAAAAAUAGCCUAUAUUAUGGCAUUUCGAAAUUACAUGGGCCUGGCCCAAAAAUAAGGUGGCGCAACACCUAUAAUAGCCUAUGGAUGAAAUUUAUAAAGUGGCGUCUUGAAUAUUUCGUCCAAAGCCUUCAUGCUCUCCUUAUGGUGGCUUUAGAGUGCGAAAAUCACCAGUGGAAGCUCCAUUGUUCUCUCCUGCGCAUGCACCUUCUUCUCCAUGCUUGAUCCCGCUCCAACGGAUAUCCUUCUUGUCCAUGCUAGGUCCUUCAUUGAUGAGCACAACAAAAGUAUCUAACUUAGGAAACAUCAUAUGUUCAUGAACAUUAGAAGUAUUUCCAAGAAAUGAAAGUACCUGGUAAUUCAAUUGGCGUGCACGAGCUCUAGUAACUGGUCUAGUAUGUAUAGCAGCUGGGGCUGUGGGUGUAACAAUGGUGUUGAUGUCCUCAUCACAUCAUGUACACAUGAGUCUUGUAUUCAGACUUUUUGCGCACCUCACAAUCCUAUAAAUGUGUAUACAUAAAUAGUACCACCUAGUAUUGAUAUUAGAAGUUUAUCUAGUCUCUAUGUGGUAUGUCCUACUCAUGAGAAAUUCAAAUUUUAAAUGGUCCGUUAAUUAUCUCUUGUUGGUUUUCAUUUGCCACUUGUUAAUAAAUGUUGGGUUAUCACAUUAUGGGGGAGUAAUAUGCUAGGUGCACAUUACAAGCCUAGAAAAUGUGUAUAUUUGAGGUAUUGCCCCUUAGUGUUGAUAUUGUAAAUUAUCUUAUUCCUAGGUGGCAUGUUAGCUCUACAAGUGUCAUUUGCUUGCGUUUUAGGAGUAAAGAUGAUGUGGGAUAUUUUUGUAAUCUACCAAAGGGAAUUGUUUCCAAAUACUUCUUGUCCUUUGACAAGUGGUAUUCCCUUCAUGUUGUAGAAAUUUCUAAUCAUCUUUACAUUUGAUUUUAUGUAUCGUUUGUCUUGCUAGCCUCUUGUGGAUUGGUUUGAACAUGUCUAGUGCUUCUACAGAUUUAGAGAAAGUUAUGACACCAUCUUGUGCAUUUUGUAUUCAAAUGCAAAUUCUAUAUAAUGCACAAAUCUCGGGGGAGCUAUCCUAUUUUCUUUAGAACACUCUCUUUAUGCGUUUAUCAUGAAGUCUUUUGAUCCCCAUCAAGUGUGUGGUGAUGGGACACAAGUCUUGCUCUUUAUGAUGCUUUGUGCCAUCAUGAAAUUUUUCGAGGGUUUGGUUUGUUGGGAACCUAGCUCUUUUUUGGAAACUAGAUACCUCAUGUUUGUUUUCCUUCAAUUGGUAUCUUGUUUCCUUUUGUCUGGCAUGUGGCUAUGGAUAUCACAUUCCUUGAUGUAUCUUUUGAUUGAUAUCCUUCAAGUGAUAGUUUUUCGUUUGGUAUCUUAUUAUCACUUGAUACCUUGUCUUUUGGUGUCUUAUCAAUGAUGUGUUGAUUUUAUUCUUGAAUGCCUUGAGCAUGCAUAUUUACUAUAUGCAGUUUCUCGUCAUGCUCUCCUUCUUGGAUCCAAUAUAUAGGGGAAACUUCACCUUGUCAUAAAUUUGCUAAAUUGUGCAUGAAAUUCAAAUUCAUACCUAUAUGCGCAUAUUUAUGUGGAGUUUGUCCUAUGUAUUGUUGGUUUUCUAACUAUUUGGUCCCAAUUAGUUUGGGCACCAUUUUGUUUGCUUUGUUGUUCUAGGAACAAUUGGAGAUGCAUUGGAUGCUUGGCUCAUCUACAAGGAAGGUGGUGACACCAUGUGCUUAUUGGAGCCAAGUUAGGAUGAUCAACGAACAAAUAUCUACUACAUCAAUCCAACGAUGUCUCGGUAACAAGUAUCUACGUCAUGCAUACAUUUCUUUGCAAAGGACCGAACCUGUCUUUUCUUGGCUGAGCGGUACUACCGUGGAUAGCCAAGGUACUACCGUUGGAGAGGUGUUACUGUUGCACUCGUGCAAUAGCAGCACCGGCACGGUACUACCGCAUCUAGCACGACAAUAUUUUUCUUCUGCCGCUGGACGAACGGUACUACCGCCCAGCGAGUGGUAGUAAAUUUUUACAUCCGCUAGCCAGACGGUACUACCGUGAUGACAUGCGGUACUACCGUGCCGUCGGGACCGCAAGGGGUUAUAGACAGGUAGGGGGGAAGGAACUUCCCCCAUACCCAUUCAUCCCCUUCUCUCGUGGCUCUCUCUCCUCCGAGUAGGUUGCGUCAUGGCAUGAAUUUCUUGAUUCGUUCUUGUGGUACUUGUUUCCUUUCUCAAAGCAUACCAGCGAUGAUGUCUCAUUGCUAGUUGUGAUGUCUUUGAUGUUCGUGAGUUGGAAAUUCAUUUAUGUACGAUAAGAAAAUAUUAGGCCAUGUACUAUGCUUUCAAGCAAAGAUCUUAUUCGUAUAUUUAUGACUUCCUUUUGGAUAUCUUGUUCGUUUCUUCUAGGAACAUUUUCAUGUGUACAUCGUUCUUUGUGGAUAUAUAUCAUCAUGAUUGUAUUUUACCUAGAAUAUUUUACACAUGUGAGAAGUUACAUCUGUAAUUGAUAUUCUCUUUUCUUUUACGUCCACCGUUGCAUUUCCUUUUUCAGUUUUUGGUGGCUUCGUGAAAGGAUUUGUCUUGAGGGCGGAUUUUAUAUCCUUGCAUCUUGAUGCACUCUUUGGUGGUGAAGAAUAUUUUUCCCGAUGCUUGUCUUGACGAGGGUUUUGCCAUUUUGAUUGGUAUCCCUCCUCUUGACAAGGUUAUUAUUUCCUAUCUUCAACAUGGGUUGACAUAAGCGUUGGUUCUUAAUUUGGUUAUUAGUAAGCUUGUGAACCCAUUUUCUAGCAGUGUGUGUGUGUGGGAAGGAUAUGUCUUGCACUUUGUUUCUCAUUUCAUCAAGACUAUGUUGAUGAGUAAUGCUCAUCCUUAUCUUAGUCUUCUCAAGUGCUUUGCCAUGACUCACACAUCAUUUUGGUUGAACCUAUUCUUAAGUUGCCUCUUUUACAUGUUGCUCAACCAUAUGUUUUGUGCAAGUGAUAUUCUUAUUGUCUCAUCUAUUUUCUUGCUCUUGUUGUGUGUUUUUAUUAAUAUUGGGGGACCAACGAUUCUAUUUUGUGCACUUAUAUAAAUUACAUUUUUUUCUCUUAUUAGUGCACAAAUCACGGGGAGCUUCUCUAGUUUUGAUAAAACACUCCUUUGCCCAUAUCAUAAUAUCUUUUAUUCAUGUGGUUCGAAGGACCAUGUGAUUGUUUGUUCCAUUUGGUACUUUUUGCUUGCUUGCUUCUCUCUUUUAAAUGUCUUCAUGGCAUACGAUCCUUUUUUGCAAUCUUGGGUCCUCGAUAUAGUUCAUUUUCCUCCAAUUACUUAUCAUUGUAUAUGUGUAUUUUUUGCACUUAUUUGUUGAGAAGUACACACUUUUUGGAGGACCACCUACUAUAUUGGCUUUCUAAACUUCCUAUCCAUUUUGGCAGUCGAUGCCAAUGGGGGAGAAGUUUAGAGAGUUUAAUUUGGUGAUGCUUAGAGGGUUUUGCUUUUAUUACUUAAGCAUUUGCAUCUUGUACACAUGCAUUAUUGCUUUGUCUGUGUGCGCUUGGUUAUGCUUAUUUCCUUAUAUAAACUCUCUUAUAGUGAUUGUCAUCAAUUACCAAAAUGGGGGAGAUUGUUAGAGCAUAUUUACCCAUAUGUGCUUUUCGUAAUUGUUGACAAUCCCUAUCGACUAAUGUCUGCCUUAACUUAUAUUUGAAGGAUUUGUCCAUAGGCACUUCUUGAAGUCCAUCUGUUGGUUUCAAGGAGUUUAUAUAAUGACCAAGGUAAUAUUCAAGGUAUUAUCCAAAGAAUGGUCAUAAAGACACAAGGUUUAUCAAGACUAAGACAAAGAGUAAAUCAAGAUGAUCAACACGCAAAGUGUACAAGAUGUACCGAGAGGGAUCAAGUGAUCCCAUGGUAUGGUAAGCAUUGUCCAUAACGCUUUUGUGUACUAACCCAUGGUCUUCGUGAGAGUUCUAUGUGGGGUUAGGUGUGUUUCCAUGGGUUUGCGUCAAGAAGAAGAUCUCAUUCAACCUAUGAAGGAUGACAUGAAGUGGUGAUCGUCAUCAAGAUUGCGGUGUGCAAGUUCAAGUGGAGCAUCACGAAGAUAUCAUGCUUGAAGCUUGUCGUCCAUUGUGGUGGCAAUGGACUUGUGAAGAUGUGCUGAAGAGUGGCUCACCCAUAGUGAGUAUGGGGGAGCAAUCAACUGGUCUUCACCAAACCAACGCAAUCAAGAAAGGUGGUCCAUCUUGAGGAAGCCAAGAUCAUCCUCAUCUAGCUCAAGAGGACUAGGUGCAAGGUAUAGGUUUGCCAUUGAUAGUUUUUCUAUUUUAGGAUAGAUUGCCGUACUGUCAAGGGGGCUCUCAAGUGAGUAGCUUGAUCGUAUCGUUCAUUGAGAGCUCAAACCAUUUGCAUCCUUGCAUCGUAUUUCAUGGUUCUUGUUUUGUGUUUCUCUUUGUGAGUUUUAGAGCAUAUGGUCAUCUUCAUGACAAGCUCGAGUUCAACGAAAAUGGAGUCCAUAUGCAUAUUCCAUGAUGUUUUCGAUGUUGGAAGUUUUUGCCGGUACUUCACUCAUACAUGUCUCACAUCUUUACAUCAUUGGCAUUUUCAUAAGUGCAUUUUCAUAUCCUGUUUGGAUAGCUCUUGUCGUCCUGAAUCUAACAAGCUUGAAUUUUCUCGAUUCAGAGCUCGUAUGCGAAAAGUUAUGGCAGUUUCAGUGGCCAGCGAUAGUACCACUCUAGGAGAGGUAGUAGUUUUUACUACCGCUCUCUCGCGGUAGUAAUGUCCGGUACUACCGGGUCGGACUUUUGCACAGCCGCAACCUCAGCGGAGGUAGGCACGGAAGUAACUUUUUUUACUUCCGUGGCAGUUGGAUCUACCGUGCGGUAGUACCUCUCCUAGCAUCGGUUGUACUGCUUUGCUCGGGCUGAGAGUGGGGGUAAUGGGUGGAUCCUUUCCCCCACUAUAUAAAGGGGGUCUUCUUCCCCAAUGGUCCUAUCAGUUGAGCUCGUGUUCUUCCUCCAUUGUUGACCUUCUUCGAGCUUGCUAACUGUCUAUCCCUCCAAUGAUUCUUGCUCUUUUUUGAGGGAAAAGAGAGAGGAGAUCUAGAUCCACAUUUCCACCAAUCACUUUCUCCUCUAAGUGAGGGGAACCCCUUGGAUCUACUUCUUGGAGUUCUUGGUGUUCUUCUUUGUUCUUCCCCUCAUUUUCCACCAUAGCAUUAGUUGUUGUGGUGGGAUUUGGGAGUGAAGGACUUGGGCACUCCGUGUGCCCUUGCCAUUGCAUUUGGUGCAUAGGUUUGAGUUCCCCACUUUGAUACGUGGAAGUGAAGUUUGAGAAGCUUAUUACCCUUUGGUACUUGGUACGCUAGAGAUUGUUGUUUGUGGAUGCUUUGGCGUCCUAGAAGUUUGGCGGUGCCUCGGUGCUCAAUCAUUGUGGUGUAAAGCUCCGGGCAAGCGUCGGGGUCUCCACUUAAGUUGUGGAGAUCCCCCCGAGCAUUUGUGGUCACCUAGAAGCCAUAUACCUUUGUGGUGAAGCUUCGUGGUGUUGUUGGAGCCUCCAAUUAAGUUGUGGAGAUUGCCCUAACCUUGUUUGUACGGGUUCGGUGACAGCCCUCAGGGGUCCCUUAGUGGAAUCACGGCAUCUUGCAUUGCGUGAGGGCGUGAGGAGAUUACCGUGGCCUUAGUAGCAUCUUGGGGAGCAUUGUGCCUUUACACCGCUCCAAACAAAGAUUAGCAUCCGCAAGGGUGUGAACUUCGGGAUACAUCGCCGUCUCCGCGUGCCUCGGUUAUCUAUUACCUGAACCCUUUACUUAUGCACUUUACUUUGUGAGAGCCAUAUUGUUUGUUGUUAUAUAUCUUCCUAUCACUUAGUUGUUUAUCUUGCUUAGCAUAAGUUGUUGGUGCACAUAGGUGAGCCUAGCUGCUUUUGGUUUUGUGCUUGACAAAUUAAACGUUAGUUUUAUUCCGCAUUUGUUCAAGCCUAAACCGCAAUUAUUUUAAAGCGCCUAUUCACCCCCUCUAGGCGACAUCCACGUCCUUUCACAUCAUUUAUAGUGGCUGGUGUUGAAUGCAUGUGGGUUCUAACAUGAUUAUGAUGAAAUUUGUCUUUUAUUAUGUUAGAGCAUUUCAAUUUGAUGCAUAUUUUUUUAUAUCACACAUACUUGCUCAUCUAUGGCAUGAUUGGGAACUUGGGGUUAUGGAGCUAAAACACGGGCACAUGUUUUGUCCCACUCCCAAAUAGGUUUUAACUGCAACACAUUAAGUAGGUGACCAUAGAAACUUUCGGCUUGUAAGACGACUAACUGCAAAUUCAUGACAUUUUAUGUGAAUUUGCAUUGAAAUAUCAAUUACAAGUUGAAUGAGAAAAACAAUUUCAUGUUAUGACCCUUCAAAAUUUGUAAGAAAAUGAACUUCGAAGAACAUUAAAUAAGACAUGUGUUUUAAAAUGUACGCUUGAAAAUGUUUUGAAAUAGAUAUAUUUUUAAUAGUCAGUCAAUGAAAUUACGUUUUGAAACUACCAUUCCUACUUAAAAGUGCUUAAGCAAUCCAAUUCGUACAAGUAUUUAUGCAAAUCGAACUACCCCCCAUCACUGUUUAGAAGACGUGUUUGGAAAUUCUUUGAAACCUAGGUGGUUAUUGAUUGAUUGUGAGAUGGGCUAAAAAAUAACAUUCACACUACACAUGCAUACAGAAGUAGUACAACAUAGUACUAAUUAGCUGCUAGGAGUAAAUGCAAUACCUCUUAAACCUUGUCUAUUGUGAAAAUGCAUGUAAAUUUAAUCGUGCCUUCUAAAAUGUGAGUGAGGGAGUAUAAAGUUCAUCUGUGAUGUUUACUGUUUUAUUAUAUUGAUCCCACAGUGUGUGUCAAGCAUUAAGGAGGCUGCAUGCAUUUUCAAUGCACUCAUAGAAUAUUAAUUCACCAACAACAUGUAUUUGCACCAUUUAAUAGGUGGAGUUUCACCACACAAUGUUAUGUUCUCUUUCCCAACUAGGGCAGGGUAGUGAAGCAGUAAAAAUCGUUAAAGUGCAAGUGUAGUGUCUCAGCUGCUCCCUCUUCUGUUCUAGGCCAGCUAUGGCUAUGUACAGUAGGUUUCGACGGGCUACAUGUAUGAAUGAAUCAAGCUUCAAUCUAUUGUUGCCUUGGAUCAUCAAAUAUAGCAAACUAGUAUUUCCUCACCGUACCCAUGGCCUGUUUGGAGCUGCUCUGCUCCAACAAAAUUAAUUUUGCUUCACCAAAUUCACUUUGGAGCAGCAUCGUAUAGAAGUUGCAACUCUUCAAAAAAGAAUGUUCGGCUUCCGUCUAUCCCAGCUUCAGUAAUUGAAAAUUUGAUGGAAAGGAUCUACUUAAUUGGAUGAAAGGAGAGAAACAAAAGGAUAUACACUUAUUGAUGGAAGUGGUGGGUAAUUUCCUUUCAACUCCAUCUUCUAUAAUUUUUUGAAGCACCUCCUAAUGAGUUUCAUAAAAAUCUUGUAUUUGUACCUUAUAUUCUAGUUUUUUACGGAGCGACAUAACGUGGAGUUACCUUGUUUGGGUUGCAUUUUCUAGAGCGAAACUGAAUUUCAAGGAACAGAGCAGUUCACACAGGCCCUCGGUGCAGGUGGAUACGCACCAUGCACAACGUGCCAAAGUUUCCUAAGCACAAGUACAAAAGAGAAUGGCCAAGGGAAGACCCCAAAGUUUCCCAAGAACAAGUUACAAAAGAGAAUGUCCAAUGGAAGACGAUGGAAAUGAUGAAUGAGCGGGGAUGAUCUAUGAGCCGGGCAAGUACUCCCUCCAUCUCAGUUUAUAAGUCCCGCACAUGUACCUAGGUCGUAAAUUUAAUCAACUUAAUGAGAGACAUAUAUAACAAAAAGUAUAUCAUUAGAAACUUUAGGUGUUCUAUUUUUUAAUUAUAUAAUUUUUAUGUUAAAAAUAUUAUAUAUAUAAAUCAAAUUGACGAUUUAGGUAUACGUGCAUGCCUUCUAAAGUGUGACGGAGCGAGUAUUAUAAUUGAUGACCUAUUCAAUGCAUGUGGCUUUGUUGAAUGCGACUCACAUGCGGGACAUAUGAUUACGACGGCAUAGCGAAUACAUAAACUAUACCACACUGAUAUGAUACCGACAAGUCGAUAUACAAGCUUGUUGUAUAAUAAGUGCAUGUGGAGGCCAACAUAGUUGAUUUCCUCCUUGCGUGGCACUAUGCCCACUCGUGAUUUAUACUCCCUCCGUUCUUAAAUAUAAGUCUUUUAAGCGAUUUCACUAGAUGUCUACAUACAGAGCAAAAUGAUUGAAUGUAUACUCUAAAGUAUGUCUAUAUACAUCCGUAUGUAGUCCAUUAGUGAAAUCUCUACAAAGACUUAUAUUUAGAAACGGAGGGAGUAGUAUUUUAUAGAGAAAACUCCAUUUUUCCUCCCUCUUCUUUGGUCUGUCCACUUUUCGUUCCUUAACAUUAAAAUCGGACAAAUUGCACCACAAACUCUCAAAACCGGUCAUCUUUCGUCCCUGCGAGGAAAUCCGUGCAAAGUCAACCCAAUUUUGACCAUGUCAUGAACAUUACAUCGAUGAAUAGUAAAAUAAAAAAAUAGCAAAAAAUCUAAAAAGUCUGGAAUUUUAUGACAUCAAAGAUAGUCAGGUAUGCAAGGUUUGUGUAAAAUUUUGUCAUGUUUGUACGUUUGAUGAGCUCACGGCAAAAAAGCAAAAUUAAAUAUGCUCUGUGAUGAACCGUGAAUUCAAAAAAAUUGUUAAAAAUCAAAAAAUUCUGUUUUUUGGCAUCAAAGAUGCUCCGGUAUGCAAGGUGCGUGCAAAUUUUCAUGGUCAAAUGACACCAGAGGGUUUGGAAAUCACCCGAAGUGGCACGCACACGUAAACUCUUUUGUUCUUUUGCCACAAGCUCCUCACAUGUCAUUUGACCACGAAAAUUCGCAUGCACCUUACGUAUCCGAGCAUCUUCGAUGGCAAAACAUUUCAGAUUUUUUUGGAUUGUUUUUGCAAUUUUUUUAUAAAUUUACUGUUCAUCGAAGAACAUAUUUACUUGUUUUUUGCUGCGAACGCCCAAACAUGACAGGAGUUUGUGGACCUGACUAUCUUCGAUGUCAUAAAGUUUCAUUUUUUUCACUAUUUCUUUUUUGAAUUUAUAGUCAUCGGUGUAUUGUUCAUGCCGUGGUCAAAACCAGGUUGACUUUGCAGCAAACCCCAUAGGGAUGAAAGUGACCUGUUUCCAGAGUUCGUGGUGCAGUCUGUCCGGUUUUAGAGUUGAGGGACCAAAAGUGGCCAGACCAUAGAAUUGAGGGACGAAAAAUCUACUUUUCUCUAUUUUAUAUACUUAUAUAAGAACCUAAAGUUUCAUCUUUCACUCUGUUUUCUUUCCAUCAUCCCAUCGUCCAAUCUUCCCUGGUUUCACCCUUAACCGAUUUUUCCCGUUUCUCCUCCACUUUUGGUUUUCAUCCAAAUAAUAUUUGAUAAUCCAAUAAACCAAAUCAAUCUAUGGUAUAUCAAUAAAUUCACAGUUCGUAAAUAAAUUGUUCGUUAUAGUAAAAACCGAUACUUGUUAAGACAUCUUUGAUAACCCAAUAAUAAAUAGCAAUAAAUUCACGACACAAAAGAUAUUUGGUAUUCAAUAAAAUCGAUUAAUCAUGGACACAUACUGAUUUUAUAAGUUUAGGAAAUAGAUGGAAAAUCUAUACUUCAUAAUCCACUAGUACAUAUGAUCGUGUGUUGCAACGAGAAAGAAAAUUAGUGUGCCCAUUAAAAUGUUCAUUAGUGCUAUGAAAACAUGCGAACAAUGAAACUCGGCGGUGACACGUAGGCGGACUCCGAGAUGUAGACUUACUUUUGUCAUAAAAAAUCAAAAAUCAAAUUAAUAAUCCAGUAGUUAGACUAUGGAAGAAUAAAUUUUAAAGACAAAUUUUGCAAGGUAAGCGGAUAGCGAGGUCUAUGCUUGUUUCCUCGUAAAUAUAAUUUUGACACACCGUUUGGACUCCGAAAGAAUUUAUUGAGUCAUGAUAUGUCUCCAACGUAUCUAUAUUUUCUGAUUGUUCCAUGCUAUAAUAUUAUUAUUUUAGGAUUAUUUUUAGGCAUUUACUUGCUGUUUUGUAUUUUUUGUGGUCACUAACCUAUUAACCCAGUGCCAAGUGUCAGUUGUUGUUUUCUACAUGUUUUUGGCUUUUCAGGUUUACAGUACCAAAUGAAGUCCAAAUACCCGAAAUUUUUUGAUGAUUUUUUCUAGACCGAAAGAAGAACUGCAAGUGUUGGGAGAAGACCAGAGGCCGCAUGAGGGGCCUUCAAGCCAACAAGGCACGCCCAGGGAGGGGGAGGGGGUGGCCGCACUUUGAUGGCUUGUGGGCACCCGCCUCGGCCCCAACGCCCCUCUCUCUCUAUUAAUUCAAAUAUAUCCCAAAAACCGUAAGGAGCCUUCUGAAACACUUUUUUCGCCGACGCAAGUCUCCACUCCACCAUGUGCCUAUUUGCAGCCAUGUUCCAGUGCCCUUCCAGAGGGGGAUCGAUCAUGGAGGGCAUCUACAUCAACCUUGCUGCUCCCAUGGUGAUGUGUGAGUAGUUCACUCAUAACCCACAAGUAUAGGGGACCACAACAUUCUUCAUAGGUAGUAUUACACACUGAUUUAUUGAUUCGACAGAAGGGGAGCCAAAUAAUAUUUAUUGGUCUUAGCAGCUGAGUUGUCAAUUCAACCACACUUGGGAUAUCUCUGUGCAUCAAAGCUUUUAGUAGCACAACAAAAUAGUAGUAGUAAUGGUAACAACAAUAAAAAUAGUAACUAAGCAAGAUUCAGUAUAUGAAAAGCAUAGGCACGUGCACCAGUGAUGGAUAAUGAUUUAGAUGACAUCAAUCAGGUAAGAGUUACACACUAGAGUGACACAGAACUAGCUCCAAUUCAUCAAUGUAAUGUACGCAUGUAUUUCGUAUAUAGUCAUACGUGCUUUUGGUAAGAACUUGCAUGACAUAUUUUGUCCUACCCUCCCGUGGCAGCGGGAAUCAUAAGGAAACGAAGGGACAUCAAGGCCCCCUUUUAAUAGAGAACUGGAGCAAAGCAUGCAUUAAUACACGGUGAAUACAUGAACUCCUCAAACAAUUGCAAUCAACGGAAAAAUCCCAAUUAUUGUCACAUGGGGGUAUGCAAACCAUAACACGUAAUAGGUGCAUACCACUUGCAAGAUUGGAUCUAAACACUUUCAUAUUCAGGAAAAAUAAUAGGUUCAGAUCUAAAAUCAUGGCACUCGGCCCCUACUCGGCCCCUAGUGACAAGCAUUAAGCAUAGCAAAGUCAUAGCAAUAUCAUGAAUCACCCUCCGUAAUCCACCUUUGGUUAACUACACUACAGGGUUAACAUCGGGAGUACAAGGUCUCACCCUUGGUACUCGAUAGUACCUCCGCAGAAUCGUACCACUAAGGGGGUGUGAAGUAGAACAUACUGGAUAACAUGGAUCAAGCCCUAUCAAAAUAACUCGAUUACAUCCAAUCCCAUCACCGUCCAGGAAGCCUACAAUGGAAUUACUCACCCCCGAUGGUGAGUAUCAUGUAAUUAUUGAUGGGUGAUGACGACAACGACGAAUCCCCCUCCCCGGAGCCCCGAACGGACUCCAGAUCAGCCCUCCUCGGAAGAAUAAGAGGUGGUGGUGGCUCUGUCCCAUAAAACGCAAUGAAAACUGUUCUUUGAUUUUUUUCUCCGUAAUUGUGAAUUUAUAGGAUUGGAAUUAGGGUCGGAGGAUCCACGAGGUGGCCCCAAGCCAUUAGGGCGGACCCAUGGGGUGGGUGCGCCUUGUUGGCUUGUGACCAAUAGGUGCCCCCUCUAGUGGGUCUUCGCUCCAUAAAUCUUCAUAUUUUCCAGAAAAAUCCACAAAAAGUUUCGUCCAAUUUCGAGAACUUUUGUUUCUACACAAAAAUAUCACCAUGGCAGUUGUGCUAAAAAUAACGCCAGUCCUGGGUUAGUUUCAUUCAAAUUAUGCAAAUUAGAGCGCAAAACAAGAGCAAAAGUGUUUGAAAAAGUAGAUAUGUUUGACACGUAUCAACUCCCCCCAAUCUUAACGCAUUGCUUGUACUCAAGCAAUUAAGUUGAUAAACUUAAAUGAUAAAGAAAACUUUUAGAAACUCUUUUGUUCUCGUUGCUAUAUAUAUGCUUAGCUAGUGUUGAGGUUUUCAACAUAAAUAAUAAAUAACCAUAUCCAUGAUAACAAUUAGAUAUCAUAUUCAUUCAUGACAAUCUCACAUGCCAAAUAUUUUUCAAAACAAUCAUGAUAUAAUAUGAAUAUAUGGUAUCUUGCUAGCCCUUUCUGAGACCGCAAAACAUAAACGCAGAGCAACUAUGAGAUCCAAGCAAUGACUAAACAUUGUAAUUCAGAGUAGAAAAGAUCCAGUUAUGCUCACAUCCAGUAUUAACUAUACUCAGUGCAUAAGAAUGACAAUAGUGCUCUCAGAUCUGGUGCUUUUAGUAAGAGGGUGAUGACUCAAAUAAAAGAAAGCAACAUGAAAGUAAAUAGAAAGGCCCUUCGUAGAGGGAAUCAUUGAUUUGUAGAGGUGCUAGUGCUCAAGGUUUAAAACAGAGUUGAAAUUGUAAUUUUGGGUGGUGUGCUUUUCCUGUCAACGUCAUGAUAGAAUUUUUGAUAUCUUCCAUGCUAAACACGUUAUUGGUGGUCCCAAGCAAAAAUAUAAACUUUACACCUAUCCACCAUCCAUACACAAGCCAUUGCUGACUGAAUGCACGGGUGCCUUCAAACAUAUCAACUGCCCGAGGAGUUUUGUUCAAUUUAUUUUUGGUUAUGCAUGACUGGGCAUCCUUUUUACUAGCCUCUCUCGUGCAAUGACACACAAGUAAACACCCAUCUCGAGAAUAACCCGCUUAGCAUGGAACAUACCGACUGGCCCAUCACUCCAUGAGAGGUACGAGCACACAAAACAUAUGUUUAUUUGAAUGUUUAGAGGUGGCACAUGCAAAAUUACUUGGAAUGAUAGGUUAAUACCGCAUAUAGGUAGGUAUGGUGGACUCAUUUGGCAUAACUUAGGUUUAGGAGUUUGGAUGCACAAGCAGUAUUCCCGCUUAGUACAUGUGAAGGUUGGCAAUAGAUUGAUAAGCAACCAGCUAGAGAGCGAAACCGUCAUAAUAAUGCAUUGAGAAUAAUUAACAUUGAACAUUAGCAUGAGUAGGAUAUGGACACUAUGAAUUUAAAUAUCAUGAAAGCUGUUGUCUGGGUACGACGAUCUAUGGGACCAACGAUGCCCCUUUUGCAGGUUCACGGUGGGGUAACGCAAGCACAAAGAGCAUCAUCAACCUCGUAAGUGCUCGGGGUUUAGACAGGUUCGGGCUGCUCGGGAGUAUAAAACCCCACGUCUUGUAUUUUGUGGAUUAUAUUGGUCCAAUGUAACGACCUAGAUGCGACAAUUUCCUUAUUUGGGGGCAAGGCCUCAAUAGGGAAAAAGGCGCAUCUAAGCGAUUCGCAAGUACAUGAAUCAUUCCAUUACAUACAAGAAGGGACGAGUAUAUGAGUUGACUUACACUCGCCACAAGUGAAGUUACAAAUCCACUCAACAAUUUAUUCAAGCAUCCAUCAGGCAGGGUCCGACUAUAGACAAGAUAAACAGCAAAAUAGCAAUGAGUCUGCCUCGCUAGGCCCAAGAGACGACCAAGGUCCUCUAAUCAUUUGGGUACGUCACGAUUACAUACGCCCACUGUCCUCGUCGAACUCCCACUACAACUGCAUAUCAUCGAAAGCAUCUGUGGUGGUGUAGUAAUCUGUGAGCCACGGGGACUCAGCAAUCUUAUGACCAUGAUAGCGAGUUUAACCAAGUGAGUAGGCGAGGAUGGGGUAUUGUUUAAGUUUGCAGGGGCACUAAGUAUUUAUGUUGUCUAACUUACGAUAACAUGAAGUAAUAUGAGUGAUCUACGCAUGAUGGUCGUGAACUAGUAAUAAUCAUUAAGUGAUCCUGAACACCUACUUACGUUAGUCAUAAACCCACUGUGUUUUCGAUCGGAGAAGGAUCUACGAAGGAAACAAUCACGGUUACACACACAGUAGGUAUGUUAAACAAAGUUUCCAAGUUGGCACAUAACCACGAGCAUGACUUUCUGUAAGAUUUAAUCCUAUAGGGUGCUCCAACUAAUCCAUCACAAGUUACCACAAGCUGCAUAGAAAGCCUCGACCAUGAAUCUCGUGAUCUCCUCGGAUUCCUUAGUGGAAAACCUCAAUUCUCAAAUAGCCCAAAGCAUCACCAGAAUCCCGAUGCACAAGAUAUAUCAUUAAGGUAAAAACAAGUCCAACAAGACCACCCGACGUGGCGAUGACCCCGAUAAGAGCCGCGUAUCUCAGUCUCAAGACACGACAAAUAAGCUAAGCAUACGGUGGCCUGACAGAAAUCCCCCGAGUUGUCUCGAGGUGGCCCCGCACGGUGCUCUGUUUUGGACCAACACUCAUGAGGAGCACUGGCCGAGGGGUUGAUUAAAUUAUCCUCGGGGUAGUUAUUCUCUAUGCUUUUUAUUUAUUAAGUUAUUAGCAAAUGUAGUACCAAAGUUGGGUCUUGCUAGACAAGUCUUAAGACAAAACAAUUUAUCAAGGGGGUCCCCAUAACAACCCCAAGUGUGUUAGGAGCGCUCAAUUAUGGAAUAUAACACCGGUUACCAAAACUAAGGCGCAAAAAGCGAAACAAAACACCCAGCAAAAGGACAAGCCUUCCGCCUUUUACCAACUAUAUAGGUGCAUUAAUUAAAUAGCAUUAAAUAACAUGAUAAUCAAAAUGCCCAUGUUAUCACAUGGACCAAUGUGCACGUGCAACUAACAAUGCUAUAAGAUGGUUGAGCAAGCGCUAAAUUAGCCAUUCAAUGUUUUGCUAGGAGGUGAAGGGUUAGAGGUUUUCAAGGCAAUGUUUGAAGGCUUAAUAUUCAGGUGGCAGGCAGCGGUAAUUAACGAUGGAAAUGAUUCAUCUAGGCAUAACAAAAUUAGAAACGAUAUCAUGGUCACAAUCAUCUUGCCUGUUGGAUCUUCUGACUGACACUGCUCUUGAUCUUCCAGAACGUACUCAACGGAAUCCUCACACUCGUUAUCAGCACCCAAUGCUACCCAAAAUAAAUAUACAUCCAAUGAACACACAACAAGUAACAAUGCUUGAAACAACAUGAUGCAUGAGUGUGUGAAAGAAAAGAGCAUGUCAAUGCUAACUAGUCAAGUUUCUCAUGCAUUUAUUAAGUUGUUAGCAUUCUAGACAGAGCCUCAAUUUAAAUUAUUUUUACAUGCAUGAACAUGGUAGAAAUUGAUGCAUCAUGAGAAAUUGGUGCAAAAACAUAUAAAUAACGUUGCAAAACGAGUUACAGAACUCUCGGUAAUCACAAACCACGAAAUGGAAGGCAACAGAGACAAACCAACAAUAUGCCAGAGGCUAUGGGCAUUUACUUGGCAUUCCAAGGAUUCCACUGGACUGGGAACAAAAUUCUAGGUGGAAUAGACCUAAAAAUUAUGCAAAUCCAUUAGGCACAACUCACGCAGUGCCCAAAACAAAACUACAACCAAUCUGUCCAUUAACAACAACAUACCACUUUGAUCAACAGAAAACUAGUAGCUGUAGCCACUCAAUAGGAUCAACCAAGCCAUGAACAUGGAGCUACCAAACAUUACAACAACACUUUACUAACAGAAACAUAGAUAGGUGCAUGAACCAAUGGUAACCAAGCUCUAAACAUGGGAAAAAUUAUCACAGUUUAGGACUUUGUGAAAAUCAUAGUUUGCACUAGCAGUUUAUAAUCUGGUAGGAUGUUGACAACAACAAAACACUAUGCUACAUCUAGUUUCAUGGCAUGAAAUUUAACAAGAUGAUAGAGGGCAACAUAUACUACAAAUCACUAGCACUGAGCAUGAGCUAAAACUCCACAGAUCACUUGGUAGCAUCAAUUUAACAUGGCAUGAAAACACUAUAGAUUCUCAAACUUAGUCAAAAUCACAAUGGAACCUAGCAACAAUUUAUAUCAGCAUAACAACUUUGACAGUGAAUAAAUCUAUGCCUCAAGUCCCUAUUGGCAGAGUUGUAGCACGAAAUUGUAGAGGAUAUCAAUCACAACAAAUCAUGGCAUUUCAACAAACACAAAUGAGCAACAUAUCCCUGGGAACCAUCAUCACAACAUGAGAAGAAAAAUAACAGACUCCAACAUUUAGAAUUAUUUAGCACGUGAAUCUGCAAUAUUUUCUUAGCUACUUUGCAACAAGAAAUCCACUCAUCUACAAGACUAACAUAGCAAACAAAAAUACCAUGGCUUAGUGCCCAAAAGACACUAACACUUUCAUGUUGACACUUUCACCAAAGCAUGCAUGGAUUAAAUACUACAAAAAACACAAAAUGCCACAACAUCACAAAAUAGCACUUUUGCAAACUUGCCCAAAAGACAAACUAUAUCACCAUUGGAUUCACUGGAUUUGUCUACCCCAAAAGCAUAUAUCACACUCAUAUAUUUCUAUGGAGAAAUUUCCCACAAAAUUGAAAAGAAAAAUAACAUGCAAUUCCAAUCCAUUCAUAAGUCAGUAAUUUCCCUUUUGGGCCACUGCCAAAUCUGACAGGUGCAGAUGUGGACAUUACCAAUUCUGAUAAGUUUUAAAACAGCAAAAAAACACCAAACAAUUAGACAGGCAGGGAGGUCCAUUGGCAGUGACACCAGGCUCCCCAUAGGAUGACAUGUGGGCCCAUGGCCCACUAUCAAAGCCACCACACACUACAAAUACAUCACAAAAAGCCACAACAUCACAAAAUAGCACCGUGGCAAACUUUCCCAAAAGACAGAAACGAUACCACCAAUGGAUUCGCUGGAUUUGUCUACCCCAAAAACAUAUAUCACUCUCAUAUAUUCCUAUGGAGAAAAUUCCCACAAAACCGAAAAGAAAAAUAACAUGCAAUUCCAGUCCAUUCACAAGUCAGAAAUUCCCCGUUUCGGCCACUGCCAAAUCUAGCACGUCCAGAUCUGGACAUUUCCAAUUCUGGUUUGUUUUAAAACAACAAAAAAACACCACACAAUUAAAUAGGCAGGGGGUCCACUGGUAGUGACACCAGGCUCCCCUUAGGAUGACAUGUGAACCCAAGGCGCACUGUCAAAGCCACCACAUACUGCAGAUAAAUCAAAAGGCCGCGCGCACGUCCAGAUCUGGACAUUUUCAAUUCUGGUAUGUUUUAAAACAGCAAAAAUACACCACACAAUUAAAUAGGCAGGGUCCACUGGUAGUGACACCAGGCUCCCCUUAGGAUGACAUGUGAACUCAAGGCGCACUGUCAAAGCCACCACAUACUGCAGAUAAAUCAAAAGAAAUAGGCCGCGCGGAGGGUGGGGGUGGAACCCGCAACCUCCUGUACACACACGCGCACACUUGACCACCGGAUUACUGCUCUGAAUCUUCUCAUCUACGGGUGCUAGCCUAUCUACUCCCUCCGUUCCUAAAUAUAAGUCCUUGUAAAGAUUUCACUAGUGGACUACGUACGGAUGUAUAUAGACAUAUUUUAGAGUAUAUAUUCAAUCAUUUUGCUCCGUAUGUAGACCCUUAGUGAAAUCGCUUAAAAGACUUAUAUUUAGGAACGGAAGGAGUAUUUAGCAAAAGGUGCAACCUUUCCCUGACGCAAGAGAGGCGCGGCGGCAACAUCGACUCCACGGCGACGACGGUACGGCGAUGCAAGGUUCGCGAGGCGAGGCGGCUGCGAAUGCGGGCGUGCUACUGCUCCUGCUACACACGCACUAUUGCCGCUACUACACACGCGCGCUACUCCACUGCUGCGUGUGGCCCUGCUACUUGAGUCGAUCGGUGACGGGGCGAUGUAACACGACGAGGUAGGCGCGGGGCUAGGCUACAACGCAUGCAGAGAGAGAGAGAGAGGGAAGGGCUCACAGCGGAACGACAAGGAGGUGCGCGGCGCAGUGUGGCCGAAGCGGCGACGACGUGGCGACGCGGCUGCAACUCCUCCCGAGACGACGACGAUGUUGACGAGGAUGAGGCAGACGGCACGAUAGUCCCUUGGCGCAGACGACACCGGCGGUGAUGAAGAAGACGCCCAUGAUGAUGCACCCGAGCUGCUCCCACAACAGCUGGCUUCAUGGGGGAGAGGAGCUCGAGCUCCCUGUGGCCAUUGCGAUGACAACAGGAGAGACUAGCUACCAGCGGCGGGAGAGGGAGGACAAGAGGCAAAUGGAGCGGGA